Non-coding RNA from Populus trichocarpa (black cottonwood), 152 nucleotides. The record is from Rfam. Lineage: Eukaryota; Viridiplantae; Streptophyta; Magnoliopsida; Malpighiales; Salicaceae.
UAAUCUAUAUGGACCAUAUGCUCAUUUAAUUAUGGUACACCUACAUCUAGUUGUUUAAAAUCACCCAUUAUCACAAAUCUAACUACAUCAAUAGGUCAUUCUGGCAUGGGACAGGCGAAGUGAUCACCUGGUUGGUGAGUCUGUACAUUUUA